CCUACGGGAGGCAGCAGUGGGGAAUAUUGCACAAUGGGGGAAACCCUGAUGCAGCGACGCCGCGUGAGUGAAGAAGUAUUUCGGUACGUAAAGCUCUAUCAGCAGGGAAGCAAAUGACGGUACCUGACUAAGAAGCCCCGGCUAACUACGUGCCAGCAGCCGCGGUAAUACGUAGGGGGCAAGCGUUAUCCGGAUUUACUGGGUGUAAAGGGAGCGUAGACGGCAGCGCAAGUCUGGAGUGAAAUCCCAUGGCUUAACCAUGGAACUGCUUUGGAAACUGUGCAGCUAGAGUGCAGGAGAGGUAAGCGGAAUUCCUAGUGUAGCGGUGAAAUGCGUAGAUAUUAGGAGGAACACCAGUGGCGAAGGCGGCUUACUGGACUGUAACUGACGUUGAGGCUCGAAAGCGUGGGGAGCAAACAGGAUUAGAUACCCCGGUAGUC
This 440-nucleotide ribosomal RNA is filed under the name uncultured bacterium. RNAcentral's name for it is "partial 16S ribosomal RNA". It matches the Rfam family "Bacterial small subunit ribosomal RNA", at positions 338 to 795 of the family's 1533-position model. The record is from RNAcentral.